GUCAAGUCGUUGCUAAGGAGAGGGGAACAAGCGGACGAGCGAGGGUUUGCCUCCGUCUCCAACCGUUGCUGUGGAGACGGAGGCAAAAGGAGGCGGGCCAAGAAGAGUCAGAUUUAUUUGGCAUUCCAAAGGGAGAGGUAUACAGAGUAACGAAAACCAUUUGAUUGGCUUCUCAGCAUCUACGGCCUUGCUCUUCCCGGAAGGUUUUCAGAGCAUACAUCAUGUCUACUUCUCCUGUCCCACCACUAUAAUACAAUUCCAUUCUCAAAGAAGAAUGAAGAAGGCGGGGCCAGGAAGACAUCUUUCCACCAUGUCUCCUUUACCAUCAGAUGGGAGCACUCCCCCCCCCCCCCCAAGGUCUAACUGCCAUUCUGGAACAGAAUGAAUAAGGCGGGGCCAGGAAGACAUCUUUCCACCAUGUCUCCUGUAUCAAUUUAAUGAUAUAAUGAUAUAUAAUAAUAUUAUACUAUACUAAUAUUAUAAUACAUUGUAUAUACAUGUAAUAUUAAUAAUAAUAUUAUGAUGUAAUACAAUGUAAUAAUAAUUAUAAUUCACUAUUAUAAUUGUAUAUUUAUAUUACAUGCAAUAUUACUAAUAAUAUUGCGAUAUAGUUGUAUAAUAUAAUAUAUUGUAUGUAUAUAUACUUGUAAACCGCCCUGAGUCCCCUUCGGGGUGAGAAGGGCGGUAUAUAAAUGUCGCAAAUAAACAAAUAAAUAAAUAAAAUAUGCUAGUGAGGACAGCUUA
This is a long non-coding RNA of Anolis carolinensis (green anole), 744 nucleotides long. RefSeq lists it as uncharacterized. The record is from RefSeq and is a predicted model, not a curated record. NCBI's taxonomy places the organism in Eukaryota, Metazoa, Chordata, Lepidosauria, Squamata, Anolidae. The transcript is spliced from 3 exons.